GUGCUCGCUUCGGCAGCACGUAUACUAAAAUUGGAACGAUACAGAGAUUAGCAUGGCCCCUGUACAACGAUAACAUGCAGGGCCUGGGGAUUUAGCUCAGCGGC
Molecule: small nuclear RNA, 104 nt
Filed under: Chinchilla lanigera (long-tailed chinchilla)
Lineage: Eukaryota; Metazoa; Chordata; Mammalia; Rodentia; Chinchillidae
Source: RNAcentral